Molecule: long non-coding RNA, 101 nt
Organism: Thalassophryne amazonica
Lineage: Eukaryota; Metazoa; Chordata; Actinopteri; Batrachoidiformes; Batrachoididae
Exons: 3
Source: RefSeq, a predicted model, not a curated record
UGUGCACAGCCAGGCUUGUUGUUAGGUUUGUGGUGCAUGCGCACAAGCGACCUACCGCAGCGCCCCCUAGUAUCUUCGAAUAUCACAAUAUGAAUAUGUUA